Molecule: long non-coding RNA, 43 nt
Filed under: dengue virus type 1
Lineage: Riboviria; Orthornavirae; Kitrinoviricota; Flasuviricetes; Amarillovirales; Flaviviridae
Description: dengue virus type I partial sfRNA1
Source: RNAcentral
GAGAAGUCAGGCCAGAUUAAGCCAUAGUUCGGAAAGAGCUAUG